This 253-nucleotide ribosomal RNA is filed under the name uncultured bacterium. Its description in RNAcentral is "partial 16S ribosomal RNA". It matches the Rfam family "Bacterial small subunit ribosomal RNA", at positions 524 to 776 of the family's 1533-position model. The record is from RNAcentral.
UACGAAGGGGGCUAGCGUUGCUCGGAAUCACUGGGCGUAAAGCGCACGUAGGCGGCUUUCUACGUCAGAGGUGAAAUCCUGGAGCUCAACUCCAGAACUGCCUUUGAUACUGGCGAUCUUGAGUCCGGGAGAGGUGAGUGGAACUGCGAGUGUAGAGGUGAAAUUCGUAGAUAUUCGCAAGAACACCAGUGGCGAAGGCGGCUCACUGGCCCGGUACUGACGCUGAGGUGCGAAAGCGUGGGGAGCAAACAGG